GUUUGACCUCGGAUCAGGUAGGGUUACCCGCUGAACUUAAGCAUAUCAA
Molecule: ribosomal RNA, 49 nt
Filed under: Parascedosporium putredinis
Lineage: Eukaryota; Fungi; Ascomycota; Sordariomycetes; Microascales; Microascaceae
Description: partial large subunit ribosomal RNA
Source: RNAcentral